AUACCACUCCCUCCGUUCGGAAUUACUCGUCCAAGAAAUGAAUGUAUCUAGAUGUAUUUUAGUUGUAGAUACAUCCAUUUUUGUGACAACUAAUUCCGAACGGAGGGAGUAACAA
This is a non-coding RNA of Triticum aestivum (bread wheat), 115 nucleotides long. NCBI's taxonomy places the organism in Eukaryota, Viridiplantae, Streptophyta, Magnoliopsida, Poales, Poaceae. The record is from Rfam.